Phasianus colchicus (ring-necked pheasant) is the source of this 730-nucleotide long non-coding RNA. RefSeq lists it as uncharacterized. NCBI's taxonomy places the organism in Eukaryota, Metazoa, Chordata, Aves, Galliformes, Phasianidae. The record is from RefSeq and is a predicted model, not a curated record.
UUGGAAGAAUGAGCCUGCUUCCACAGCGUCUGAGUCAGCCACUCUGAGAGGCAACUUUAGUUUUAGGCAUCAUCUGUAAGCAUGCUGACACAAGUGCACAAUCCCAGCUUUAAAAAUGACUAACAUUAGCAUUUUCACCUACACCUCCGAGUGAAAGAAUAAACAUUAAAUAACAUUCAGUGGAACAAAAUACAAGGCCUGAGUGGGAGUAAAAGCAAAGGAUUUGAAAAGCUCCUCUACCUACUUCAAUUUGUUUAAACCACUGAAUAUAUUUCCAGAUUCCGGCAGUAGCCAAGCUAAAUUAUUCACACUUCUUGGAAUUUAUAUCCUUAGGUUGUCAUAAAACAUUUUGACAGGCCAAGGCUAUCACAGAAUACCAACACGAAAUAGAGCUGGCAUGGAUUUGAAGACACUGUUAGAAGUUGCGGAAAACAGCUUUUGAGAAAUGAUGGAAACAGUGACUGCCACUUUCUUAAUCUGAAGUUUGCUUAAGAUUUGCAAAUUACCAUCUUAGAUGUUCUUAUGUAAGGUGCAAUACCUUCGCCCGAUGAUGAAUCCAAACACCAUGAAGACCAAAAUGAUGGUUCCCGCCACAGCAACUACAGCUAUGAUAAUAACAGGAUUCUGUUCACUGGAAACAGCGGUGGCUGCAAACAGGGCAAAGAGCAGAGAUUAGCUUAAAAUUAUUCCCUGCAAAAGAACUGCAAAAAAUUAAAUCGACCUUAAUGAA